UACAGAGGGUGCGAGCGUUGUUCGGAAUCAUUGGGCGUAAAGCGCUUGUAGGCGGCCUGUCAAGUCACGUGUGAAAUCCCUUGGCUUAACCAAGGAAGUGCGCGCGAAACUGGCGGGCUUGAGUGCCGGAGAGGGUCGCGGAAUUCCCGGUGUAGAGGUGAAAUUCGUAGAUAUCGGGAGGAACACCUGUGGCGAAAGCGGCGCACUGGACCAUAACUGACGCUGAGGCGCGAAAGCUAGGGGAGCAAACAGG
This 253-nucleotide ribosomal RNA is filed under the name uncultured prokaryote. Its description in RNAcentral is "partial 16S ribosomal RNA". It matches the Rfam family "Bacterial small subunit ribosomal RNA", at positions 524 to 776 of the family's 1533-position model. The record is from RNAcentral.